Molecule: non-coding RNA, 232 nt
Organism: Ictidomys tridecemlineatus (thirteen-lined ground squirrel)
Lineage: Eukaryota; Metazoa; Chordata; Mammalia; Rodentia; Sciuridae
Source: RefSeq, a predicted model, not a curated record
UCUAUGCAGCAGGAACUCUUCUAGUAUUACUGUGCUGGAGCUGAGCUAACCUGGAUCAACCAGAACACAGGUUUGGGGCUUCUAGAAAAAUUCUUGUCUGAAUUGCAUACAUAGUUGCCUGGUUUUCUCUGAUGUGGUUAUGCUGAGGACUGGAGCAGGGUGGUUCCCCCCUUCCCCCUAAAGCUUUUAAAGAAAGUCUAGCUUGUGAAAAUAAAUCCAGAAAUGCCAGGUA